RNAcentral lists this ribosomal RNA (816 nucleotides) under Streptomyces sp. RNAcentral's name for it is "bacterial SSU rRNA". It matches the Rfam family "Bacterial small subunit ribosomal RNA", at positions 63 to 894 of the family's 1533-position model. Lineage: Bacteria; Bacillati; Actinomycetota; Actinomycetes; Kitasatosporales; Streptomycetaceae. The record is from RNAcentral.
CGAACGAUGAACCACUUCGGUGGGGAUUAGUGGCGAACGGGUGAGUAACACGUGGGCAAUCUGCCCUGCACUCUGGGACAAGCCCUGGAAACGGGGUCUAAUACCGGAUACGAGUUCCACGGGCAUCCGUGGGACUGGAAAGCUCCGGCGGUGCAGGAUGAGCCCGCGGCCUAUCAGCUUGUUGGUGAGGUAAUGGCUCACCAAGGCGACGACGGGUAGCCGGCCUGAGAGGGCGACCGGCCACACUGGGACUGAGACACGGCCCAGACUCCUACGGGAGGCAGCAGUGGGGAAUAUUGCACAAUGGGCGAAAGCCUGAUGCAGCGACGCCGCGUGAGGGAUGACGGCCUUCGGGUUGUAAACCUCUUUCAGCAGGGAAGAAGCGAAAGUGACGGUACCUGCAGAAGAAGCGCCGGCUAACUACGUGCCAGCAGCCGCGGUAAUACGUAGGGCGCAAGCGUUGUCCGGAAUUAUUGGGCGUAAAGAGCUCGUAGGCGGCUUGUCGCGUCGGUUGUGAAAGCCCGGGGCUUAACCCCGGGUCUGCAGUCGAUACGGGCAGGCUAGAGUUCGGUAGGGGAGAUCGGAAUUCCUGGUGUAGCGGUGAAAUGCGCAGAUAUCAGGAGGAACACCGGUGGCGAAGGCGGAUCUCUGGGCCGAUACUGACGCUGAGGAGCGAAAGCGUGGGGAGCGAACAGGAUUAGAUACCCUGGUAGUCCACGCCGUAAACGGUGGGCACUAGGUGUGGGCAACAUUCCACGUUGUCCGUGCCGCAGCUAACGCAUUAAGUGCCCCGCCUGGGGAGUACGGCCGCAAGGC